AUGAGGGGUCGGAAGGGAUGCCAACUGCUUGCUCGGAGUUGCUGCAGAUUCGUCAGAGGUAUUGACCGUGAAUCUGGUAUGAUCGGAAGCAUGCUGAGUGAGUUGUGCGACUGGAAAGCAGCAGUUUUGGCUUGCAGUGGUGCGAUUGUUUCGAGAUCUGAUUUGUGGAGUCCCUCUUUUUCUUCUUCUAACUUUUGCUUUGAUGUUUUUGAAAUCAAGUUGUUGUGGUGGUUGUUCAUGAAUAUUGAUUGGCUUUUGUUUUCUGCAUAUUUUCCAGACCUAUCUCCUUCUACGUAUUUGCUUUUUCUUUUAUAUUGUUUUGGGGAUGAUGUUGUUUGA
Vicia faba (fava bean) is the source of this 339-nucleotide non-coding RNA. Lineage: Eukaryota; Viridiplantae; Streptophyta; Magnoliopsida; Fabales; Fabaceae. The record is from the annotation of a GenBank genome assembly.